AUUCCAUGAUGGGGACAUUCUAGGAUGUAGUCUUGGAAGCCCUCCCAUGCUUCUGGAACAAAUUCAUCAUGUUGUUGCUGAAAACUUGUAAUCUUCCCACGGAGAGC
This 107-nucleotide small nucleolar RNA is filed under the name Sorghum bicolor (sorghum). RNAcentral's name for it is "Plant small nucleolar RNA R71". It matches the Rfam family "Plant small nucleolar RNA R71". Rfam says of the family: R71 is a member of the C/D box family of snoRNAs containing the C (UGAUGA) and D (CUGA) box motifs. Multiple nearly identical copies of this snoRNA have been identified in Arabidopsis, and it is thought to function as a 2'-O-ribose methylation guide for 18S ribosomal RNA. The record is from Rfam by way of RNAcentral. Lineage: Eukaryota; Viridiplantae; Streptophyta; Magnoliopsida; Poales; Poaceae.